GAUGAAGAACGCAGCGAAAUGCGAUACUUGGUGUGAAUUGCAGAAUCCCGUGAACCAUCGAGUCUUUGAACGCAAGUUGCGCCCGAAGCCACUAGGCCGAGGGCACGCCUGCCUGGGCGUCACACGCCGUUGCCCCCCCAUCUACUCCUUCGGGACUGCGGGGGGGCGGAUGAUGGCCUCCUGUGCGCCUAGCCGCGCGGUUGGCAUAAAUACCAAGUCCUCGGCGACGCACGCCACGACAAUCGGUGGUUGCGAAACCUCGGUUGCCCGUCGUGUGCGUUCGUCGCGCAUCGAGGGCUCGAAAAAAUGCUCGGCUCCGGCUGGGCUUUCAACGCGACCCCAGGUCAGGCGGGGUUACCCGCUGAAUUUAAGCAUAUCAAUAAGCGGAGGA
RNAcentral lists this unclassified non-coding RNA (391 nucleotides) under soil metagenome. RNAcentral describes it as "partial contains 5.8S ribosomal RNA, internal transcribed spacer 2, and large subunit ribosomal RNA". The stretch from base 1 to 122 matches the Rfam family "5.8S ribosomal RNA", at positions 35 to 154 of the family's 154-position model. The record is from RNAcentral.